RNAcentral lists this long non-coding RNA (3146 nucleotides) under Lynx pardinus (Iberian lynx). The record is from RNAcentral. Lineage: Eukaryota; Metazoa; Chordata; Mammalia; Carnivora; Felidae.
AAAUAGAUAAGGAGUAGGAGACAGGAUUAGCAUAACAUCUGUGGUCGUCUCAAGGAGGGACAAGAUUCAAGGGUUGUCUUGAGGUGAGACGAUUACAAUUUAGAUUAAUUCUAAGGUGGACUGUAUGGUAUUUAAGUAUUUAAUUUUAAAAUCCAGAAUGUUUAGUGAAAGAUGUGCUCUGAUCUCCUGCCAGGAGGAUUGAAGAAUUUGUAAACUUAUAUGUGCAGACAUAAGUAGUCCAGUAAAGAUUAAACUCAUACCUGUGCUCUAUUUCUGGCUUUGCCACCAAGCAAUUCCGUGAUCUUGAGAUUUCCCUGACCUUUCCAUCAUGUUUCCAACAUCUGUUAUUUUUCUUGAGGUGGUCCCAGAUGAGGAGGGGAUUCGGCAAUUAUUUGGAGAGUUCUAUUGACAAUAGAAGAAGGUUUCCUGGUCUCUUCUGAUCAACUAGACUAGAAGUACUGUCCAUAUUGGUCAAGUUAUCUAGCUGCUCUCCAGCGAGGUUUUUUUUUAACUUUUAAUUUUUUGCUCCAUAGAGAUACAGCCUGUGAUGAUGAAGGCUCCUUUUUACCUGAGGUAGAGAAGCAUUUUAAGGAAAGAUGAAACACAUCAGAGGAUCCUACUUACUUUGGAGGACACAGAGAGAACAGAAUUAGGAAAAUAUAUAAAGAACUUUAAGGUUACUUCCCAAUGCCAGUAAAAUCCAGGUUCAGAAAUUUAUAAGAUGCUGUAAGAAGAAAAAGAAGUUGCUGUAAUUGACAUAAUAUCUCAUUAAGGGGAGAAAACAAUGUUCUAUGUAACAGGCUUUCCCCUCUCCUUUACAGGACAGCAACUAGCUGCUACCCUCAGGCUUUGUAAGUUCACCAGCUGAUAGCUACAUAGCUAAGGAAAAACCAGGCACCUUGAGCCAGACAGGGUGGCUCCAUCCAUUCACAUGUGCCUAUGCUUACCUCUGAUGGACGAGGCCCUGGGUGCUCAGCACUGGAAACACAGUGUUAACAAGGCGGCACUAGCCGGAAACCUGGUGUGGUGAUUCUGGUGAAAUGGGGCCAGUAAGGUGAUUUGGGAAUGUAAUUAGGAGGCUAACCUAGCCAGUGGGAAGCUGUGAAGGAAAGCCACUGACGAGGAAAUGGUGUUUAAGCUGUGACUUGAAAGCUGAGUAGCAGUAAGCAGGUAAGAGGGAGGCACGUGAAGGAAGCAGAAACAGCAUGUACAAAAUACCUGAGACAAGUGAGAGCCUUCCUCAUUCAAGGGAACAAGAAAACUAGUGUGAUUGGACCUUGAGGUGUAACUGGCAAAUAGAAUUGUAAGAUAUUUAAAGGGCACCUGUGAUGAUUUGAUCUACAUCGCUGUGGGAUUCCUAUAGUCAGGUUCAUCAUUAGCGCAAGGUGAUUGGCUUUUCAAAUCUUUGGGCUAACAGAUUGUUAACUCUAAGUUUGGUCAUAGGUGUUCAGUUGGUAAUGGGUGCCUGAGGAAGCAGGGCCAAUGAGAUAUGUAGGGCCACUUUGUGUAGCCCCUUCAGCCUUGCAAAAUAUCUGCCAUUGCAGAAGUCAACAUGACACUGCACGGCAGCCCUGUCCUAGCUCUGAAUACAGCAACUUUUCUUUUUAAUUGAUUCCCAAGUGGUGCUCUCUUCCUUCCAGGCCCUGGCCUGACCCUAUAGGGAGUCAGGGAAGUGGUAUAUAUCCUUCUUCAAUGAGAUUCCCUCUCUGAGGGAUUGCCUAUCUGCUUUGGGAAAACUUUUUCUACUGCAUUUGUCAUUUUCCCUUCUUUAAUUUGGCUCACUGGCUACCUGAAUUUGUCCACUUUGACCUCAUCAUCCCUCCCUGACCAAAGAAUAACAACUCCAUUGAAAAACAGCAACAACAACAAAAAGCCAUGAUUAAGAAAGAAAGAAAGAAAGAAAGAAAGAAAGAAAGAAAGAAAAGAAAAAGCUUACCUUGAGUGCACUAUCAGAGAUGAUACAAUCAAUCCUUUGGGUGAACUUAUACUAAAGUGUAAAUGACUGAAACAUGAAUACCUUCUCCAGUCUCCUUUGUGAAAGGUAUCUUCUCUUUUGUAUAUUUUUAAAGAAGCUUACAAAUUAGCCUGAGGUUUUAAUUAGCCAUUGGAACAAAAAUGAAGACUUUCUAACUCAUAAAGGGAAUAUCUGAGACCACAGGGUCAUUUUUUCUGAAAUCCUUGGCACAGUACCAGUAGGCAGUCAUAGCCAGUGCUAUAAGGAAUGAGACUCUGGUCUGAUUUUCAUGGAUUAGAUUCAAAAUCUAUCAACUGUUCAAACCUGAAGACACAAACUGCAACACGCUGGGGAGGAGAGCCCCAGAAGGCACAAGUUCCUAUUAUAGUCCCCAUCCCACACCCCUCACCCCAGGCCAUACACAUACUCCUCCAUCUGUCCCAUUGCCAGGGUCCUGCCCCAGGGUGCAGAGCAUGCCGGUGGGCCUCGGUGUUUUAAAGGCACCAACUUAUGCUGCUUCCUCAGCCACUGAAAGCACCGCCCACUCCCAUUCCCAAACCUGAUCACCUCGGGCGACACCCAGCUGUGGCCUGCACCGAGUGACCUGCCUGGGGAAGAGCGGCCCCCAUCACCUGCCCAGACCCUCGGAAGCAGGGCCCCAAGGCCCAAGCGCAGAGCUGCGGCUCUCACCGACCCGCAGCUCCCCAGCCUUUCAGGACCCAACGUCGGCAAGGAAAGGACCCCCCCCCCACCCCCCCGUUUGGGACUCUUUGUUCGCUACGCUUCCUCGUUCCUGUUCUCAAAUCUAGCUCCCAGCAGCCCCCGCCAGCGCAUCCGACCUACAGGAAAGUUGCUCCGGAGCUGUAGAGGGGCGUCAUCGCCUCCUAGCAACGCUCCUAGCAACCGGGUAACAUCUGCUCCCUCUGGUCCAAUGCGAGCGGAGAACAGCUGCGCGCCCGCCUCGCGUUCCGAACCCGGAGCCGGAGGCGAGAGGCGCUUCAGAGACUGGAGGGACGGACCUGCAGGAGCCAGGGCUGCCCGCCGAGCUGCAGUUGCCGCUGCUGCCGCUGUCGCUGUCGCGCUGCCGCCGCCGCCGUUGCUGUCAGCGCUCGAGUGAAGAGUGACAGCGCCGCAAGAGCGGGAGGGAGCGCCGAACCCCGCGAACCUACGAAACAGGUGCAUGCGCCGAUCU